Long non-coding RNA from Sinocyclocheilus grahami, 88 nucleotides. RefSeq lists it as uncharacterized. NCBI's taxonomy places the organism in Eukaryota, Metazoa, Chordata, Actinopteri, Cypriniformes, Cyprinidae. The record is from RefSeq and is a predicted model, not a curated record. The transcript has 3 exons.
AUCUAGAUGAAGACUCGUAUAAUAUACACUAACUUUGACUUGACUAAAUGUCUGCGGCAAAAGAUAAAAGGUUAAAAGGAGACUUCAU